This 602-nucleotide long non-coding RNA is filed under the name Prunus persica (peach). RNAcentral describes it as "long non-coding RNA (PPER_LNC004258)". The record is from RNAcentral. Lineage: Eukaryota; Viridiplantae; Streptophyta; Magnoliopsida; Rosales; Rosaceae.
AUAAGCCCCUCAAGCUUAAUAUAGUUGCGCAUGACAGUGUUGGCCUCCUCAUUUAAGAUUAUAAAGUCAUUUACUAUUAUAAAUUAUAAAUUUUGGUCUUUUCUAAUCUAAAAAUCCUAACUCCGCACUUCUCUUGUUCCCAUUUUUCCUGUGUCCUCCCCGUCACCUAUCUCAAUUUUUUGACACCUCCGUUAACAUAACAGUGUUAACAGCCUGGUCCAAACAAUCGCAAGAUCUCCUUUCCUCCCCAUUUCUACCACAAUUUGCGAAAGGUUUUGGUGGCUAGUGUUAUUGUAAAAUAUGUAAUUAGCAUACAAAACUUUCUUGUAUGGAAUCAACCCAACAAGUGCAGACCAACAAAAAAAAAAAAAAAAAAAAAGGAAUCAUCCCAACAAGUGGUGGCGAACAUAAUUUAUUGCAAAAAAGAAAAUACCCAUAUUAGUUGUGUCUCAUAUUUACUCAAAAACAAAUUUAUAUUCAUAUUUCCAUUUAUUCUUCCAUUCCAUUCCAAAGUUAGUAGUGUCUCUGAGUUAUAUGUGAUGACUUUGAAAAAGCCACUAAAUGUGUGUAUUAUUUUCAUAACACAAAGUACUACCUCAAAC